GGACUACCCGGGUUUCUAAUCCUGUUUGCUCCCCACGCUUUCGUGUCUCAGCGUCAGUACUCGUCCAGUUGGCCGCCUUCGCCGCCGGUGUUCCUCUCGAUAUCUACGAAUUUCACCUCUACACCGAGAAUUCCACCAACCUCUCCGGUACUCAAGUCGAGCAGUAUCGGGUGCACUUCCCGGGUUGAGCCCGGGGCUUUCACAUCCGACUUUCACGACCGCCUACACACGCUUUACGCCCAGUAAUUCCGAACAACGUUUGCACCCUCUGUCUUACCGCGGCUGCUGGCAC
RNAcentral lists this ribosomal RNA (292 nucleotides) under uncultured bacterium. Its description in RNAcentral is "partial 16S ribosomal RNA". The record is from RNAcentral.